ACUAAUGUCCUACAGUGGUAGCGCAUCAGACGUGAGUUCACAAUUCCCCACAAUCGCCUGGAUCAUUCCCUGAUUCAAUUCCAGUUCUAUUUGAUAUCUGGAGGCUGCGGGUUCGAGCCCCGCCGUGAGUG
RNAcentral lists this transfer RNA (131 nucleotides) under Alectoria sarmentosa. RNAcentral describes it as "tRNA-Ser". The record is from RNAcentral. Lineage: Eukaryota; Fungi; Ascomycota; Lecanoromycetes; Lecanorales; Parmeliaceae.